AGAGUUUGAUCCUGGCUCAGAGUGAACGCUGGCGGCGUGCCUAACACAUGCAAGUCGAACGAUGAUGGAGAGCUUGCUCUCCUGAUUAGUGGCGCACGGGUGAGUAUACCAUAGAUAAUGUACCUCUUAGUUCGGGAUAGCCACUGGAAACGGUGAUUAAUACCGGAUACUCCUUCUUGUCUUAAGGCGAGUCGGGAAAGUUUUUUCGCUAAGAGAUCAGUCUAUGUCCUAUCAGCUAGUUGGUGAGGUAAUGGCUCACCAAGGCUAUGACGGGUAUCUGGUUUGAGAGGAUGAUCAGACACACUGGAACUGAGACACGGUCCAGACUCCUACGGGAGGCAGCAGUGAGGAAUAUUGCACAAUGGAGGAAACUCUGAUGCAGCAACGCCGCGUGGAGGAUGACGCAUUUCGGUGUGUAAACUCCUUUUAAGAGGGAAGAUAAUGACGGUACCUCUUGAAUAAGCACCGGCUAACUCCGUGCCAGCCGCCGCGGU
Molecule: ribosomal RNA, 494 nt
Filed under: uncultured bacterium
Lineage: Bacteria
Description: bacterial SSU rRNA
Rfam family: Bacterial small subunit ribosomal RNA
Source: RNAcentral